GGAAAGAUGGCCGAACUGCUAUGUGGGCUUUUUGUUUACCGAGGGUUCGAAUCCCUCUCUUUCCG
This 65-nucleotide transfer RNA is filed under the name Allium cyathophorum. Its description in RNAcentral is "tRNA-Ser". It matches the Rfam family "tRNA". From Rfam's summary of the family: Transfer RNA (tRNA) molecules are approximately 80 nucleotides in length. Their secondary structure includes four short double-helical elements and three loops (D, anti-codon, and T loops). The record is from RNAcentral. Lineage: Eukaryota; Viridiplantae; Streptophyta; Magnoliopsida; Asparagales; Amaryllidaceae.